GAAAACACCCGAACUUAGAAAUCAUAUGUAGAUUUUUUUCUUUUUUGGUACAACAAUUAGACGCAGAGUUACAAGCAAGUGAUAAAAGCAACAUUUGAUGUUAUAUAAUAAAGUCUGGGGCACUCGAAAUUCCUGUUUACAGCAUCAUCAAAGUUUUAUUGCUAAUUAUAAAACACACAUCGAGAUAGGUAAGAACAUCGCAGCUUCCUAUCCUCUGAACAUUCCUGCUUUCUACUUGCGCAGGCCUUUGAAAUAGCUUUUUGGGUCUCGUUCAAAGUCAGCCCUGCGAAUGCGAUGAUCCCUUCCAGGAGCUUUCAUUGUCUUCCCAGGAGCUUUCAUUGUCUUCACAGGAUCAGGUUCUGGGCUUGAGAAGAGAGCGCUGCCAAUACCCCAGGCCAUAAGAGCUGCUCCUGCCACAGCACCAAUACAAAAGGCUAUUCCAGUUCCAUCGAUGCCUUCAUCUUCUGUUUCAGUCUUAGAACUUGCUGCACCUUUACCGCUAUUCAUUGCUCUGCAAGAGUUGAUUCUGUCCCUAUGUUUCUUUGAUUUCUAUUUGCAGGUUGCAUGGCAAUACAAGAGAGUGGAGGACUGCUUAUAUAGUACUGCAUCGUAGGAAACGGAGUCCUUUGUAUUUGAUAAGUAUGGGAAGCCAGCGCAUCACCUUUUGCUUUUGCAAACGUAAUGUGAGAAAUUGUUUUUUGUUACUUGGCGCCUAAGCUAUAACUUUGUUUAUUUUUUUGUUUUAAAAGUUUUUUAAAAAAGUUUAAAUUUUUUUAUUUUAAAUUAAUAUAUUUUUUAUUUUUAAAUUAUUUUAAUGUGCUGAUAUAAAAAAUAAUUUUAAAAAAAUAAAAAAUAUAUAUUUUGUAGAUAUAUUUUUAAAUGAAAAACAUUUUGAAAAAUAACUACAACCACAUUCCCAAACAAACCCUCAAAAAAUUUUUUUAUGAUUUAAUUAAUCUCAAUUUAAUUAGUCAAUUUUUUUUUAUGUUAGUGGGUAUAGUGAAAAUAACUUUAAGACUUGAAAAUCACUAUCUUUAAGUAUUUAUUGCUUUUAUUAUAUUUAAUGUGAAAGUUAAAAUAAUAUACCUUUAAGAUAUAACAAAAUCUUAACUUUAUAAAUAACAAUUUCUAUAAGUUUCUUAAGAAUUUUUAUUUUAUUUAUGGUAAACAUAAACAAAGAGUUUGUAAAAAAAAAAAAAAAAAAUAUUUUCUAAUUAAUUUAUGUUACUACAAACUGUUAUUUAUAAGUAACACUCUUUUGUAUCGAUUUUUCUAUAAAAUUUAAAGACAAGUUUCUUUAUAGUAUAUGUAGAAUUUAAGGACAUAACUAUUUAUACCAAUAUGUCUGUGAAUUUUAAAUUGCAACUUUUCUGCAAAUUAACUAAAUAACUUCGUAGAAGGUAUCAUACAUAAUUAAUUAUUUCUGAAAACUAGUUAAUUAACUUAAAUUAAUUAAAUCAAAAAGAAAAGCCAAAUGCAUCCUAUAUUUUGACUUUUCCUCCAACUUUAAAAUAUACUGAUUUGAUAUCCCUUAUAUCAUAAGAUAUAAAAAAAUUUCAUACUCAUCUUGAUCCUGGUAUAUUUUUUUAACAUCGUAGUAAUUUUAUAAAAAAUAAAUUAAAAUAAAUUAUGAAAUUUAAUUCAUAAUAAUUAUAUUUUUUUAAUUAUUUUUUAUUUAACAAUAUAAUAAAUUAUUUUUUAUUUAAUAAUAUGAUAGAAAAAAUAAACAAUUGUAAAAUUGAGUAUCAAUCUAAGAAAUAUUUAAAAAUCAUGAUAAUCCCUGUAAAAAGUAAAAUAAAUAACAAAGUUAAAUUUUCAAUAAAUUAAUUCAAUAUAUAUAUAUAUAUAUAUAUAUAUAUAUAUAUAUAUAUAUAUAUAUAUAUAUAUAUCCACUCCUCGGUUGGCUCUUGUUAAUAACUAUGGGAAAGAAAGACUCCUUCAUAUCUAAGUAAGUACUGUGGAAAUCAGCUCGUCACCUCUUGCUUUUGCAAAAGCAAUGGGUGGCGCCAAAAGCCGAUAUUGACCCCGUAAUUUCUUACUUUCUACGUCGCUGUGUUUCUUUAUAGUACCGCACUGGUUGGCACUGAAGCUGGCCAUCAUCUUCUUAAAGGAACUUUCAUGGCACUGUAGCCUCGUCAUAGGUUGAUUCAAGGUUGUCAUUUUCAUUUUGACAGGUAUUUUGUUUUUUCAAUUGGAAUGAAAUAUUUCAUCGUUUCGAAGUUGUACUGUUCAUCUAUAUAUAUAUAUAUAUUCAGUAAAUAUAAUUCAAAUUCAAGAUAAAUUAUCCAUUACAAAAUACAAACACAAUAUCAAGUAAUAUAAUUUUAAAAUUUAAAAUAUUCCUAAAUAGUCAAGAUUAAAAAAAAAAUUUCUUUUAUCUAACAUCAUAUUCCACAUCACCUAAGUCCUAAAUAGUGGAUUCAUUUUAGUAAGCUAUCUCUUAAUUUGAUUUAUCAAAAAAAUAUAUAUACUAAUGUAGAAAUCAAAGCCAUUUAUCAUAAAAGACAACUUUCUAAAGUGUUUUGUCCUUUGAAUUUAUGGCAAACCUAAAACUAUUAACAUUCCAGCAGUGUAAGUUAACAAAACUAAGUUCAUGCUUUUUUCAUUUUAGCUCUACAGACCGCAGAGACAAUUAUUUGAGAAGGGAAUGGAUGGCCACAAAGCGAGAUUUAAUGAGUCUUCUAGUUCUUUGCCAGGUUGCAAGGGGCUCCUUCUCUUUUAUGUUGAUUGAGCCGUUUUGAUUGAAAAGUCAGGUUGCAGCCUUGCAGGAGCAGCAGUGCAGUUAUUGCAGCAUGUAAGAUCAAGACAGCAACAAAGAAGAGAAAUUAGGGAUUUGGUAUUUUUGGUUUAGUUUACUUUAGACAUCAGAGAAAAAUAGCGUGGGUGUACUGUGCAGUUAAUGAAAAUGAACCGGGUUUAAUUUAAAGUCUUUGACUCGAUGGCUUUAACCCGAAACGGAACACAUGAAAUUCGGUUGGAACGUUCCGGCCGAAAUUUGACCGGAAUUUCCGGAUCAACCCGAGAUUUUAAGCGAGGUGAAACUUGUUUCGUUUUGUUUUUUUAACUGGUACGAGAUGUUUCGGGCAUUUCAACCGAAACGAAACGGUAUUAACAAUUUUGGGUUGAACAUCCCAAGCUCUCAAAUACAUGAGAGAAAAACAAGAAUAUUUAAAGGGGAAAGAGAGUGGAGUUACUGCAGUGGAUAAUUCCCAUCCUCACGCUACAGUGAGAUCAAAAGGUUUUUACAUGUAAAAAAAUAAUAUCAUGAUGGGAAAAAAAAUGACACUGUUAUGCCUUAACUAGCGAGUUAGACAGAAAAUAGAAAAAAUAAAAAUAAAUUAGAUCGAUAAAAAUAAAAUUGUAAAAAAAAAUAAUGUUUCUUUAUUAUUUUUACUAAAUUUAAUGUCUUGAUAUCAAAAUAAAAACAAAAAUAAAAAUAAUUAAUUUUUUAAAUAUAUUUUUAAAGAAAAAGCUACUUUUGAAAAUCUUAAGAAAAGGAUUCGAGAUGGCAGUUUUCUUGGAUACCAACAAUCAACCAUCUUAUUUGGGGAUCUAAAGAAUACUAGAUGUUGACCUUUUGUAGCAACGGACAUUUAUAUGAUUUGGGGCAAGGGUACUGGCCCAUGGUGCCCUCCUAAACCCCGGACCUUCUCCGACGGGAUUAAGAGCCCAAUACCCAGCUACUAGAAAACAGCAAUACACCGGGCCAGGCCCACCUCAUCAACUUCAUAGAUCAUAUCCAUGCUCAAGCUCAAACUAUAAAGGACCCAUUUGUUAGGCGAAAAAACCUACACCUGAGUCACCUUCUCCGAGUGUAAGCACACGACCUCAGCCCCAAGAUGAGAGAUCACAGCCUUGAUAUCAUAUCUUAAGCACAUUUAAUUUAAACAUCAAAUACAGUAAGUUUGGUGUUUAUAAAAUUGUAUAUGCAUAUUAUAUUAACACACCACCCUAUUGGUCCAACUAAUUAAUUUGUUCACGGAAGAUUAUGCAUACCAUCUGUGGCCAAGCCCCGCUAUUUCCUUGAGUAGAAUAUAAUUGUAGCUUUAGAGCAAAACCCAAUCUUAUUAUGCCGACUGAAUUGAUCCAUCAAAUUACUUAUUCUAGUUGAUUGAUUGCUUCUUAACUGGUAGAUCAGUUUUCUUUUAUUUUUUCUUUUUAUUUUUUUUUUUUCAAAACUGAAGUCUAAUUUAUCUUCAACGUUGUUUAGCAUCUUGUAAAGGGCAUUCAUAGCUUUCUUUCCGAGCCUGAGUAUAUGCUUUCAUUUGAUUCAAUAGAACGACAAGCACUCGAACAAGGUGUGUAAGGCAUGAUAGAUCAUAAAUAAUAUCUGCACAGAAUUGUAAGUAAAUAAAUUAGGACAAAGGGUAAUGGAUUCAGCAAGAGAUCGAGGCAAUAAAGCAAAACACAGACAGGAGUAUUUGCACCGAUAAUUAUUAGCUAAAAUUCCUUAUUUUAAUGGUAUAAAACUUUGACAAUUAACCAUAGACACUGGAAGAAAACAAAAAAUGAAAACUAUGCCACUCCAGAUAUUAUCCUACAAGCACACAUGCAAUAUAAUGAAAGGGUUGAAAGGACUUCUUACCCCGUCUAAUUAACUUAACAAAGUUAGUGAGGGUGGUUGAAGCUUGCUCGAGAGAAAAAAUGCAAGACUUUUGUCAACUUUGAAAAGUAAGCCUAUGCAUGUCCCAGGGCUCCUCUUUAAUUCAUCUUCUAAUAUUCGAUCCAAGGUAAACAAUGUUUUACUUUGCAAAACUGCAUCAUGAGCUUGAUUCAUGAGUUCAUAAUGCAUCGAUGUUCUGUGAACAAAUGAUGGAGCUCUAGCAGUUAGCGUUUGAGGCAAGUUUGGUAUAUUACAUAAAACACAACCUUGCAUCAAUAUUGUCCCCAGCUACCUAAAUAUAUACCCGUCUUUUUAUUGAUCAUUGCCUCAGGUCGGUGACGGACUCUUUAAUAUCCUUGGCAUAAUAAUUACCAUGAUCUCACCUGAUGAGCAAUGCUCAUAAUAAUUACCUAAGAGGACGGUGUCGUAUGUAUAUAGUUCAAGAGCCACUUUGCUCGCUAUCAAGAAAGACCACAUUAAUCCAGCGGGCAACAGCGCAGCAGUAUCAUGCCCCCGUAUAUGAUAUAAAAUUCUUUCACUUGAUUUGAUCAACACAAGCCCAUAUGAUCAUGUAACGAUACUGCCAAGACACCAGGCAUGGAAUUAUGAAACAUUAGGGUUGGAAAAAAGAGUGGAAAGCACAUAGCUAGCAAAAACAUUUGAUUGCUUGCAUUAACAAUAAACAUGCCACAUAUAUUGUGAAAUAUAUUGCAUAAAUAGCAAGCUGGUCAAAUUUGAGAGCAAAGGGUCUACAGCUUCAUGACAAGCACGUUCCUGAAAAGCCCCACGGGUGAAAAAUAAAAGAAACGAAGGGCCAACAUGAUUAAAUAACAAAAGAAAUGUAUAAAAGAAAGGAAAAGUAUAGCAUAAAUUAUAUUCAUUUGGUUCAGCAACGGGCAAUUGGCCAAGAUUGGCACAAUCUUCUUCUUCUUAUAAUUAAGAACUGGUGUCUUCUUAACACCCCAUCUCAGGAGAUGGGCAAGACAGACACAAGAUUACCAGGUUUCUGUCUAAACAGGAUCAGGCCUCGUGUUAGAGCCCGUCCACCACCUAUACAAGCCAAGCCUAAUCUGAAUUCUACUACAAAUGAUCAAAACAAUGAGAAUCCUGACAGUGUUGUUGGAGAUCAGGAGAAGCCUGGGAAUUCGGAGGGAAAACCUGUGGAGUUAAUCGGCAGGAAAAUCAUGAUAGUGGUUGAUUCGAGUAUUGAAGCUCAGGGAGCUUUACAAUGGGCACUAUCUCACACUGUUCAAAGCCAGGAUCUUCUUAUUCUUCUUCAUGUAACUAAAGAAUCUUCCAAGCAAGGUUGGUCUGCAUGUUAUUAUUUUUUUAAAAUCUUCUUCUUCGUGGGAUUGUUAGAUGUAUUUUUAGACAAUUAAACUGAGAAGGGCUUAACAUUUGACUGCAGCCACAGGGACAAAACCCCGCAAGGAGAGAGGAGCUCCAAGGGCCUGUGAACUUGUAAAUUCUGUGAAAAAUACGUGUCAGUUGAAGAGACCUGAGGUGGGUAUGAUUAAUUCAAUUUUUCUAGCUAUUUUUGUCUUGUUUAUAUAUUUAUAAAAUGGGGCGGACUGCAGAUACAAAUUGAGAUUGCAGUGGUGGAAGGAAAAGAGAAAGGUCCAUUGAUAGUGGAGGAGGCCAAGAAACAAGAGGUGGCACUUCUAGUUUUGGGGCAGAAAAAGAGGUCCAUGACAUGGCGGCUGAUCAUGAUGUGGGCAAGCAAUAGAGUCACCGGUGGUGUGGUGGAAUACUGUAUCCAAAAUGCUGAUUGCAUGGCAAUUGCUGUGAGGAGGAAAAGCCAAAAACAUGGAGGUUACUUGAUUACCACAAAGCGUCACAAAGAUUUCUGGCUUUUAGCUUAACCUAGCAUUUGCCUAAACAUGCAUGUAGCAUAUCAAUUUGAUGUUUCCCCUUUCAUACGUGGAGUUUUUGUUUUGUUACAUCGUUUGUAAAUCAAUGAUAAAUUCUACUCUGCUGCGAAAUUAUGAAAAAAGGAUGGAGAUUGGGGUGUGAAUUUAACUUGCGUCAUUAUUCAGGGCACCUGCUAUGAUGGCUAAGGGAGACGCAAUGGGGUCCCUCGAUUCCUUUGGAUCUCCUCCGUGUGCUACAGUAACCGGCUAAAGCACAUGGUUCCUGAGCUUUUUCGAUGAUGGUGAGGAUCAGUUAGUUAGGCCAUGGACCAUAGCUGGGGGCCUCGCCUUUAUCCACCUUCAACUGCCAUUGUUGUCACUUGAAGAUAAAAUACCAGUUACGCAUAUCCAAGUUCAUACCAUCGAAUUCGUAAUGCACCUUCAACGGGAACAACUGAUAAUAAAAUGGUUGACAAUGUAGGAUUAAUUUUCGCUGCACUCCCUCGAAGGUCCUGACUUUCUUAGAGAAGUCAACUAAUCAGAAUGAAAUGGCGUGGGUUUAAGCUAGCAAGGGUUUGAAUUCAUUCUGUUAAAGUAAUUAAGAUUACACACAAAAAGGAAACUAGAAUUCUGAAUAAUUUGUAUAUUAUAAAUGUAUAAUUUUAACCUAAAUACAAAUAAAAUAUAUAUAGAUUAAACUAAAAAUAUUAUUUUACCCUUAAUAAAUAGACUACAUAAAUAUUAUUUAACACAUUCAAGCCCAACAAUUUUCAGGAUGACAAUUGAGAAUUGUCAACUCUUAUGGCCAAGUGGGUUAACUUAAUAAUUUGGUGUGUUCGAGUCCUAUAUUGAGUUGAAUUUAUAAUUGAAUUGGACUUUUCAUGGACAAAACUCAACCGAUUCCGCUGGGUCAUAUAUAUUAAAAAAAAUACUGCAAAUGAAGAGAAAAAAUCAUAUCCGUGAAUCAAUCAUAUGAUGCGUUGGGAGUGUUAAACAUCGAGGCAACCUAGCUGAUUCGAAAGCUAUGCUCCAUGGGCCAACACUCGAUAACACAAGCUGGGUCAGGUGUUUGCUUUUUCUUCGGCAGUGCAUUGUGCACAGCUGGAGUCCCUCCACUGUUCUUUUCUUUUCUUUUCUUUCCCGAGGGUGAGAGCAAACAUGCCCUACAUUCCAGAAAGAAGAACUGAUUUACCCAGUUUGCCACGUGGAUUCGAGUGCAAAUAUCCACGAUACAUAAACUAAAGAAGGCCCCUUAUAGUGCCAGUCCUCUAUGGCAGAUGAUUUUUUUUAUGUCUUGUUUCUGAUCGGUGAAUUGACAACUACCGUAAAUAGGAACUCUAAGAGUUAAUUAUUAUUUUUCUAUAUAUAUAUAUAUAUAUAUAUAUAUAAAACGUCUCUUUCCCUGCUCUAAAAACAUUGGCCGGAUUCUUGUCCUUAUGUCUCAGGCCUUUGAAACCUUAAAUCUAACAUGGAUUGCAUGAACUCAGCUAAAAGGCCCAAUUCUGACCCCAUAGGGAUCCUGAUGUGGAAACAGAGCAUGAUGAAUUCAACUCAAACGCUUAGUGAUCAGGGAACAUAUUGUAGUUUUGGUGAUUUUCAAAGUGCGUUUAAAUUAAAAAAAAAAAAAAAAAAUAACGCUCAAUUUGUGUAGUAAAAUAAUUAAAAAAUCAAUUUAGUAUUUUUUUUUUAUAAACUAAAAGUAUAUUGAAGAGGCGUUUCUAGCUAUAUUACCGAAUACACACUCAUUUUUAUUUUCAGAUGCAUUUUGAUCUUGUAUAUUAUAUCAUGUUUUAAUAUAAGAUCUAAUAAGCAUUAGGUUAUACAAGUUCAUUGACCCUGGAUGAAACUAUUUUUUAAAAAAAAAUAAAAAAUGUCAAUAUUGCUUGAAUUUUAUUGAUAAUGAUGUUGUUUUGAUUAAAAAAAAUGAUAAAAAAACUCUAUAAAAACAAACAAGAACCAAUUAAUCCUACACAAAUCAAGAUGAAACAUGUCAUGAAAAUCAAUUAAAGAUGAACCAAAUGCUUAAAAAAAAACAGUAUUGCUUUUCUUAUUAAGAAAAAUAAGAUAAUAAUAUAUUUAAUCUAUCGGAUACUUUGCAACCUAAUACGCUAGACCUAUAAUUUGGUUCAUGGAAUCUAAUGGUUCGUUUUUAGUGCUGAACCCUGAAAUUGCCAUCAUAAGUUAAUUUAAUUUGUUGCUUAUAGAUGUAUGCCAAUCUCUAGAAUUCAUGUUAUUUAUUGCUUAAGUUGCUCCAAAACUAGUUGCUCCAAAUUUUCAGGAGAAGUAAGUAACAUUUUUCUUUCACCUGUUAUUGUCUUGUGCUGGUCUUAGUGUGGCAUGGAGGUAAACAUCUUUUGUAAUUUUGUUCCUGCAGUUUUGUGAAGGGUAGAGAUUAUGUUCAGGACCGUGAACAGGCUGAAAGGAGAAAGCUAAAGAAACUCCUAAGAAGAGAAGCUAAAGGGGCAGCUCGUGAAUUAUUUCUUAUUCAAGGUUGAAGAAAAUGAAAGGGCACUGCUGGAGGAUGAAUGAACAGAGAAUUAUGGAAAGGCGAGGGCUUUCCUCCAAGAACAAGAACACGCUUUCAAAUCUGGACAAUUAGGAAAGGGGAGGAAGAGAAGAAGGCGAACCUGAUUCUGGUGUUUGUUUUACUUGGAUGUUUAUUAUUUUCGUUAUAGUUGCAUCCUCAGAUAUCUAGUGGAAUUGGCUGGCUGUGGCUCAGAAGCCGGGGUCCCUAUAUAUAAAAGAAGCCAACCUGUUCCAUGUAAAAUUUUGGAUGUGCAAUAUUUGUAGUUUCUAACCAAGUUUUGAAAGAAAAUUUAGUUAGAAUUGGACUGUCCAAUCAGGAUUAAAAUUUCUGAAAUAUUCAGGAAUAACAAUUCAACAAAACAUAUUUUAUUUACGCCAUCUUUUUAGACUUGCUUUAUUGAUAUUCUACUUGUGCUUUCAUUGUUUUAGCACUGUUAGUAGGGCCAGAGCCUGGAAAAAAGGCUAUGCGCCAGAAGACCGAUCGCCGCCACUGCGCCAACCAGAGCAGCAAUUCGAGCUUCUUCGUUUCUUCCAGGCAUGUCUGGACCAUAAGCACCUGUUGCGGACCCUGUGGCUCUCUCUGUUUCACAAAUCUAUUUCGCCCUGGAGCUCCUGUUUCUGUUAUUCUCAGCCCCUGACUGUGGCCAAAUGAGAGUGGGGUUUAUAUAGUCAAUUUGUGAACUCGAGAGUCUUAUUGGAGAUGACCUGAAUUAUGGUCGAGUUUUCAUUGAAACAAGUGGGGAAAAUGAAUAUAGAAAAGGAAAAUAGUUUCGUAUCAGCCAACAAACUCCAAUACUCUCUAGAUUUUUUUCUCCCUUCUCUCCAGUUUUUGCUACUGGGUUAAUCUCUCAUUUUCAGUCUUCUAAUAAUCUUAAGAUUUGUUUUGAAUCGAAGAGAAUUCACUGUGUUUUCAUUUUCAAGUUUUUCAACAUGAGUGUAUGAUCUUUGAUAUCAUCAGAUUUUAGUUUGAUUCCAAUAAUGCAAUAUGGAUGUUGCUGAUUGGGAUGUCCAUUUGUUAUUUGUCCCUGUAUUUUUAGUAAAUUGAUACCAAGAUUUUAUAUUUUCUGGUUACAAAACUCAAACAAGCUUCUAGGAACAAAGAUUAAAGAUCGUUGUUAUUGCUGGUGAUGAUUUUAUUGUUUGAUUAAGGAAUAUAUGGCCAUUCUAUCUCCCUAUAUAAUUGAUAUUUCGUAGAGGAAAAAGAAACAACACCACUCAAAACCGUCGUCUAAAUCAAACCAUCGGUGGCCUUUCAAGGGAUUAACUGCAGCGUGUCUUCGUAACAGAAGCGUCUGCCUAGAAAAACACUCUGCCGCUAGCAUUCAUCAUUUUACCAAGUACAGUUUCAGUGCUUUUCGUUUCUUGCUUUUGACCCCUUGAUCGCUUUCAUUAUUUUCUAAAUCAACUAUAAGAGUUAGGUCAUCCCAGGCCAUUAAUUAUCCCUUCCCCAGAUUCUUCCUGAAAACACCCGAAUUUAGAAAUCAUACGUAGAGUUUUUUCUUUUCUGGUACACAACAAUUACACGCAGAGUUACAAGCAAGUGAUAAAAGCAUCGCUUGCUGUUAUAUAAUACAUAGCCUGGGGCACUCGAAAUUCCUGUUUACAGCAUCAUCAAAGUUUUAUUGGUAAUUAUAAAACACACAUCGAGAUAGGUAAGAACAUCGCAGCUUCCUAUCCUCUGAACAUUCCUGCUUUCUACUUGCGCAGGUCUUUGAAAUAGCUUUUUGGGUCUCGUUCAAAGUCAGCCCUGGGCAUGCGAUGAUCCCUUCCAGGAGCUUUCAUUGUCUUCCCAGGAUCAGGUUCUGGGCUUGAGAAGAGAGCACUGCCAAUACCCCAGGCCAAAAGAGCUGCUCCUGCCACAGCACCAAUAGCAGCGGCUAUUCCAGUUCCAUUGAUGCCUUCAUCUUCUGUUUCAGUCUUAGAACUUGCUGCACCUUUACCGCUAUUCAUUGCUCUGCAAAAGUUGAUUCUGUCCCUAUGUUUCUUUGAUUUCUAUUUGCAGGUUGCAUGGCAAUACAAGAGAGUGGAGGACUGCUUAUAUAGUACUGCAUCGUGGGAAACGGAGAGUCCUUUGUAUUUGAUAAGUAUGGGAAGCCAGCGUCACCUUUUGCUUUUGCAAACGUAAUGGGUGAAAUUUUUUUUGGCAGAAAAGAUAAGAUUUUGUUUAUUUUUAUAUUUUAAAAGUGUUUUUAAAUUUUUUUUUAAUUUUUUAACUUUAAAUUAAUAUAUUUUUUAUAUUUUUAAAUUAUUUUGAUGUGUUGAUAUCAAAAAUAAUUUUUAAAAAAUAAAAAAAUAUAUUAUUUUGAUAUAUUUUUAAGUGAAAAACACUUUGAAAAGAAACCAUAACUAUACUCCUUUCAAAAAAAAAUUUUUAUGGUUUCAUUAAACUCAAUUUAAUUACUCAAAUUUUUUAUGUCAGUGGGUAUAGUGAAAAUAACUUUAAGACUAUUUUUUAAGUAUUUAUUGUUUUUAUUAUAUUUACUGUGAAGUUAAAAUAAUAUAUCUUUAAGAUAUAACAAAAUCUUAAAUUUAUAUAUACCAACUUUUAUAAGUUUCUUAAGAAUUUUUAUUUUAUUUAUGGUAAACAUAAACAAAGAAUUUGUAGAAAAUUUUUGUUUUCUAAUUGAUUUCUGUUACUAUAAACUGCUAUUUAUAAGCAACACUCUAUCGUAUCAAUUUUUCUAUAAAAAUUAAAGACACAUCUUUUUAUAGUGCAUGUAGAAUUUAAAGACAUAAUUAUUUAUACCAAUAUGUCUGUUAAUUUCAUAUUGCAACUCUUCCGACAAAUUAACUAAAUAACUUGGCAGGAGAUAUAUCAUGCAUAAUUAAUUAUUUCUGAAAACUAGUUAAUUAACUUUAAAUUAAUUAAUUCAAAAAGAAAAGCCAAGUACCAUCAUAUAUUUUGACUUUCCCUCCAACUUUAAAAUAUAUUGAUUUUAUAUCUCUCACAUUAUAAGAUACAAAAAAAUCCAUACUUAUCCAAUAUGAGAUAAAGUUCUCUUUAUUUAUCUUCCUGAUACACACAAGGUAUUUUAUAAUAGAACUUGAAACCUCCUAAUUAUAUUCCUUGUAUAGCUCAUGCUUCAAAUUAAAUUGUAUAAAUAUUGUUUUUUUAUUUAAUAAUAUAUUGAAAAAAAUAUAUGCUAAAAAAGAACAUCAUUCUAAUGCUGGUAUGUUUUUUUAAUAUCAUAAUAAUUUCAUAAAAAAUAAAUUAAAAUAAAUUAUGAAAUUCAAUUUAUAAUAAUUAUAUAUUUUUUAAAUUAUUUCUUAUUUAACAAUAUAAUAAAUCAUUUUUUAUUUAAUACUAUGAUAGAGAAAAUAGACGAUUGUAAAAUUAAGUAUCAAUGUAAUAUUAAGAUAUUUUUCUAAGACCAUGGUAAUUCCCGUAUAAAGUAAAUUACAUAAAUAUAACAAAGUUAAAUUUUCAAUAAAUUAAUUUAAUAUAUUGUAAAAUAUACUAAAACGGAUCAGUGUUUUACUGUGGACCACAGUAAAACACUGAUACCUAUGCCUUAGUUGUGGUUUUUUUUGUUUAAUUUAGUUUAUUAAUGUUUUUUUUUAUAUUUAGUUAUUAAAUUUUCAUGAAACAUUUUUUGAGUUUAACGGGUUAACCUGGUUUGACAAGUUAAUCCAGAAUUUUUUUUUUGUUUUUUAUUAUUAUUUUUGUUUAGUUUAGUUUGUUAAUAUUAAAUUUCUUUCUAUUUAGUUAUCUGACUUCCAUGACACAUAUCUCGAGUUUCACGGGUGAACCUAGUUAAUUCUAGGUUGACCCGUCAAUUUUUUUUUGUUUUUUAUUUUCAUAAAUUUUUUUUGUUUAAUUUAGUUUGUUAAUGUUAAUUUUUUUUAUUUAGUUAUCAGACUUUUAUGACACAGAUCCUGAGUUUAACGGGUUAACAUGGUUUGACAAGUUAACCCAGAUUUUUUUUGUUUUUUUUUAAUUAAUUUUUUUUGUUUAGUUCAGUUUGUUAACGUUCACUUUUUUUUUUAUUUAGUUAUUAGACAUUCAUGACACGAAUCCUGGAUUUAACGGGUUAACCUGGUUUUACGAGUUAACCUGAUUUAUUUAUUUUUGCUUUUUUAUCUUUUUAAUUAUUUUUUUCAUUUAGUUUAAUUUUCUAAUGUUAAAUUUAUUUAUAUUUAGUUUUUUUUACUUCUUAGAGGUUUUUUGUAUUUUUAAUUAAUUUAGUUUAUUAAUAUUAAAUUUUUUUCUAUGUAGUUCUCGGCUGAUGCAAUUUUUUUUUUAUGCCUUUGAUUAUAGACUGCACAGUGCAGUCCACAGUGAAAAGGUUGAUGCCUUUUGUUUUUUUUUAAUUAAUUUUUUUGUUUAAUUUAAAUUGUUAAUGUUAAAUUUUUUUCUAUUUAAUUAUCAAACUUUCAUGACACGGACUCCGGGUUAACCUGAUUUAAUGAGUCAGCCCGGUUAAUUCUGGGUUAACCUAUUAAUUUGUUUUUUUCUAUUUAGUUAUCAAACUUUUACAACGUGAAUCUAAGGUUUGACGGGUUAACCUGGUUUGAAGUGUUAACCCAGUUAAUUCAUAAAGUUUUUCUUUUUCUUCAUUACUUUUUUUCUUCAUGUUGGUUUUUUUUUUGUUUCUUUUCUUUUUAAUGAAUCUAUUUAAUUAUAACACUUUUAUGACACGACCUUGCAAUCAGACCCAUGUCCAAUGCUAUUGAGUCUGGUAUUGCAGCCAAACUCACUUAAAUUUGGGUCAUGCAAAUUUAAUGUUAUUAUUAACAUUAUAGAUACUACUCUUGGGUUAGGCGUUGCAACUAAACCUAAGACUUUUAGGUAUAACUUUGUAAAAAAAUCUAAUAUUUUUAGAUUUUUUUUUGAAAUGUAAAAAAUAAUUGACUGCAUCGCGGGAGUAAUGUAAAACUAGUAUAUACAUAAAGCAAAAGGUUAAAGGUAAAGGUAAAAAAAAUGUUAUGAUUCCAAAGAACAAUAGCAUGUGGAGGGGGAAUAAUGAUUUCCACUCCUCCGUUGGCUCUUGUUAAUAACUAUGGGAAACAAAGAGUCCUUCAUAUCUAAGUAAGUACUGUGGAAAUGAGCUCGUCACCUCUUGCUUUUGCAAAAGCAAUGGGUGGCGCCAAAAGACGAUAUUGACCCGUAAUUUCUUACUUUCUACGUCGCUGUGUUUCUUUAUAGUACUGCACUGAGUUUGUUUAUAGUAUUGCACUGGUUGGCACUGAAGCUGGCCAUCAUCUUCUUAAAGCAACUUUCAUGGCACCAUUCUCAUUUAUCCUUUUUUGUUAAACGAGGAGAGGCUGGGAUGUGUAGCCUAUGAAUAGGCUACAUCCCAAGCCUCUCAAAUACAUGAGAGAAAAACAAGAAUAUUUAAAGGGGAAAGAGAGUAACCCCACAAAAUUAUGCAAGUUAUAUUGAAAGCGAGUGUGUGGGAUAUUUUCUCUAGAGAGAUUACUAAUUGUUAUCGUUAUUGUUUAUUAAUAACGAGGGAUUAUAAUUCUCGUAAAACUUACCCGUGAACUUAACCAAGUUUAAAUUAACCAUGCAAAUUCUCGUAUGUUUUAUUUUUUUAUUUUACCCUAUUCUUUUUGAGUUUUGUAUUGUCGGGUGAUCCUAACAGUAAUUCUCUCCAUGAUUGGCUAUCCACUGGCCCGUGUUAGGAGAAGGGCACCCGUUAAAGUUCCAGUUCAGGGAAGAAAACUUGCUGGUGUAGAAGCCUAAGAGCCCAAUGCCGCUAGCAUUCCUCGUUUUACUAAAUACAGUUUCAGUGCUUUUCGUUUCUUGCUUUUGACUCCUUGAUCGCUUUCAUUGUUUUCUAAAUCAACUAUACGAGAGAGGUCAUCCCAGGCCAUUAAUUAUCCCUUCUUCCUGAAAACACCCGAAUUUAGAAAUCAUAUGUAGAGUUUUUUCUUUUUGGUACAACAAUUAGACGCAGAGUUACAAACAAGUAAUAAAAGCACCGUUUGCUGUUAUAUAAUAAAGUCUGGGGCACUGGAAAUUCCUGUUUACAGCAUCAUCAAAGUUUUAUUGGUAAUUAUAAAACACACAUCGAGAUAGGUAAGAACAUCGCAGCUUCCUAUCCUCUGAACAUUCCUGCUUUCUACUUGCGCAGGCCUUUGAAAUAGCUUUUUGGGUCUCGUUCAAAGUCAGCCCUGGGCAUGCGAUAAUCCCUUCCAGGAGCUUUCAUUGUCUUCCCAGGAUCUGAGCUUGAGAAGAGAGCACUGCCAAUACCCCAGGCCAAAAGAGCUGCUCCUGCCACAGCACCAAUAGCAACGGCUAUUCCAGUUACAUCGAUGCCUUCAUCUUCUGUUUCAGUCUUAGAACUUGCUGCACCUUCAAUGCUCUUCAUUGCUCUGCGAAAGUUGAUUCUGUCCCUAUGUUUCUUUACUUUGUAUUUGCAGGUUGCUUGGCAAUACAAGAGAGUGGAGGACUGCUUAU
Molecule: long non-coding RNA, 15382 nt
Filed under: Populus tremula
Lineage: Eukaryota; Viridiplantae; Streptophyta; Magnoliopsida; Malpighiales; Salicaceae
Description: long non-coding RNA (PTRE_LNC002770)
Source: RNAcentral